UACCAGUACGGAAUUAAAUGACAGUAGUGUGGCGGCAUGUGAUAAAAUGAAACUAUUUGAGCCUAUUAGCAGUUGAACGGGUUAUUAUUAACCUCGUCCAACGGGGGUGGUUUUCGCGAGAAUAAUCUCCCAUGAUAUAAUUCGUAUCCGUAGUGUAGACAAUGCUCACCAAGCAGAGUCACCAUAUCUGUUGCUUCGCCAACGAGUUUCAACGUUGAUUUUUCGAACGUCGUUGGCGCUGUCGAAUUCAAAGUAACGUACACUGCACAGCACAACCCACUGGACACUGGAUCAGUAAAAGUAACAACUUCACCAGUUCAGGUGUCGAAUGUUGCAAGUAAUAUUAACUACAAUGUGGUGGUUCAGGCUAUUAACUCAAGUAACAAAUUAGGGACAAAAAGCAGCCAAGUUCGGGCACGAACAGCUCCGGAUGGUUCAAGGAUCCUGAACGUGAUCACCACUCCAACUUUCCUCACCAUCUUCCUGGAAGAAACUCCGGGAGCAACAGCAUGGGAGGUUGAGGUUAAUGACACAAUUACAGGGACAUCAAGGAUCAUCUCUGUUCCUAAUGGAGUUCCUUCAAAUACAUCAUAUGUGGCUAUUAUACACCCCUCAACCCAAACACUCCACACACACUGAGGGCAAGAGUAUC
Ciona intestinalis (vase tunicate) is the source of this 652-nucleotide non-coding RNA. Lineage: Eukaryota; Metazoa; Chordata; Ascidiacea; Phlebobranchia; Cionidae. The record is from RefSeq and is a predicted model, not a curated record.